Molecule: long non-coding RNA, 634 nt
Organism: Lynx canadensis (Canada lynx)
Lineage: Eukaryota; Metazoa; Chordata; Mammalia; Carnivora; Felidae
Exons: 3
Source: RefSeq, a predicted model, not a curated record
UCUGAUCUGAGGUUUAGCCCAGCUCAGCUGCCAGCCUCACCCUUGUAUCCCUCUAGCUUUCUAUUCUUGGCUCAAUUAUUGUCAUGCAAAUGGCUCCUUCCCAUGCCACCUUCCUGUCUCAUUAUGAUCUUUGUCUCGGGACUUCGGCCCUGGAAUUUCAAUGCCUCCUAGACCGAGCUGGGCACCAGGAAUGCUGCCUCCCCCUGCUGGCUUCCCUCCCUCCCGCCUGAUUUCCUUUGGAGAUUCUAGAGGGCCAAGCUAAGAACUUGGCACUCUGCCCAGGGAGAAGAAAUUAUCCGGAACAAAUGGAAAAGACAGAGAGGUGGAGCUUUGUCCUGAGGCACAGAGAGGGGACCAGGCACCAGCCCGGGGCAUGGAAGGCCCUGUAGGGAAUGCGCCCUCUGUGCCAGGCAGUGUGCUAACCAAAGACAUUACGGCUUAUGGAGGUUACGACUCACCCGAAGCCACACGCCUGGUAAACAUAAGCACCGAGAUGUGAACCUAGGGUCAUCUGCUCCGGAUCCUGUUCCUUUAACCGCUGUGCUGUACUGGGGAUUGGUCAGAACUCAUAAUGAUGAUUCUGAUUUAAAUAGUUUGCUGUUUCAGGGCACCUGGGAGGCUCAGUCGGUUAAGU